UCCUGGCUCAGGAUGAACGCUGGCGGCGUGCCUAACACAUGCAAGUCGAACGGAGUUUUGUGAGGGAAGUCUACGGAUGGACGUUAUAAAACUUAGUGGCGGACGGGUGAGUAACGCGUGGGCAACCUGCCGUAUACAGGGGGAUAACAACUGGAAACAGUUGCUAACACCGCAUAAGCGCACGGUACCGCAUGGUACCGAGUGAAAAUCUCCGGAGGUAUACGAUGGGCCCGCGUCUGAUUAGCCAGUUGGUGGGGUAACGGCCUACCAAAGCGACGAUCAGUAGCCGGCCUGAGAGGGUGGACGGCCACAUUGGGACUGAGACACGGCCCAAACUCCUACGGGAGGCAGCAGUGGGGGAUAUUGCACAAUGGGGGAAACCCUGAUGCAGCGACGCCGCGUGAGUGAAGAAGCAAUUCGUUGCGUAAAGCUCUAUCAGCAGGGAAGAAGAAAUGACGGUACCUGAAUAAGAAGCCCCGGCUAACUACGUGCCAGCAGCCGCGGUAAUACGUAGGGGGCAAGCGUUAUCCGGAUUUACUGGGUGUAAAGGGAGCGUAGACGGCAGUGCAAGUCCGAUGUGAAAACCCGGGGCUCAACCCUGGGAGUGCAUUGGAAACUGUACGGCUGGAGUGCAGGAGAGGUAAGCGGAAUUCCUGGUGUAGCGGUGAAAUGCGUAGAUAUCAGGAGGAACACCAGUGGCGAAGGCGGCUUACUGGACUGUAACUGACGUUGAGGCUCGAAAGCGUGGGGAGCAAACAGGAUUAGAUACCCUGGUAGUCCACGCUGUAAA
RNAcentral lists this ribosomal RNA (790 nucleotides) under uncultured bacterium. Its description in RNAcentral is "bacterial SSU rRNA". It matches the Rfam family "Bacterial small subunit ribosomal RNA", at positions 17 to 806 of the family's 1533-position model. The record is from RNAcentral.